GUCUGGCAGCUCCUCAUGGUCCCGGUCGCAGGUAGCGUCCCGCCGCUGCCUCGGACCCGCCCCAAAUCUCACCGUCUGAGGGAACUCCGGGUAGCGGCCUCUGAGCCCCAGCCUGCACCUACACAUCCAGAAGACCUGAGGAAGCUGAAGAACCACGAAAGAAGUGAAAAUGGCCAGUUCCUGCCUUAACUGAUGACAUUAGCUUGUGAAAUUCCUUCUCCUGGACAAUGAGUCUCAAAAGCUCCCCCACUGAGCACCUUGUGACCCCCACCCCUGCCGCAAGAGGACAACCCCCUUUGACUGUGAUUAAAAAGCUUUAUUGCUCACACAAAGCCUGUUUGGUGGUCUCUUCACACGGACGCACUUGACAUUUGGUGCCGAAGACCCAGGACAGGGAGACUCCUUCGGAAGACAGGUCCCCUGUCCUCACCAUCACUCCAUGAGGAGAUCCACCUAAGACCUCGGGUCCUCAGACCAGCCCAAGGAAUACCUUACCAACUUCAAAUCGGACAGGAAUGUCAGGCCUCUGAGCCCAAGCCUGCACCUGUACAUCCAGAUGGACUGAGGAAACUGCAGAACCACAAAAGAAGUGAAAAUGGCCAGUUCCUGACUUAACUGAUGACAUUACCUUGUGAAAUUCCUUCUCCUGGACAAUGAGUCUCAGAAGUUCCCCACUGAGCACCUUGUGACCCCCACCCCUGCCCGCAAGAGAACAACCCCCUUUGAGUGUAAUUUUCCACUACCUACCCAAAUCCUAUAAAACUGCCCCACCCCUAACUCCCUUUGCUGACUCUUUUUCUGACUCAGCCCACCUGCACCCAGGUGAUUAAACAGCUUUUUUGCUCACACAAA
This is a long non-coding RNA of Pan troglodytes (chimpanzee), 852 nucleotides long. RefSeq lists it as uncharacterized. Lineage: Eukaryota; Metazoa; Chordata; Mammalia; Primates; Hominidae. The record is from RefSeq and is a predicted model, not a curated record. The transcript is spliced from 4 exons.